Non-coding RNA from Equus caballus (horse), 1097 nucleotides. Lineage: Eukaryota; Metazoa; Chordata; Mammalia; Perissodactyla; Equidae. The record is from RefSeq and is a predicted model, not a curated record.
GCCCGGUCAAAAAGCCUAAUGAAUGAAGAUAUUGAAAUACAAUUCUUCACUACUGAACCUUACUCUCACGUGUAAUUGCAUCGAGGUUGAAUUUAGCUCAAAAUUCAACUCCAGGUUGUAGGUACACAUUUCCCCAGCUCCUCCUAAUUUCCUGAUCCUCAACACCCUCCACCACAUCCUGACCCUUCAUGUAUCAUGUAUGUCUUUUCUGUUCCUCAUACAGGGUUCAGAUGACUGCAGGUCUGAGGCACGGGCUCCCUCCAGUAUGACGGUGGCUUGGCAUUCGGGACACCAGCUUUAGAUGGUGGCAGAGCUCUGGAGGCUGACGAAAGGAGCCGAGGUCUGUUUAGCUCCAUUCUCUUCUGCUGAGAGCUCCACUGCUCCCUCUCCACUGCUACCGUCUCCUUGCUCCAAAUAGGAUUCUCUCCUCUCCUGGCCCACUCUAGCAGAGUCUUACACACAGGCAUUCUGAGAGUUUCCUCAAAGCUUUGGCUACUACUUUCUAAGGCUCACAAACAAACCAAUUGCAGCACACAAAAAGUAAAGUCACGAGGAAACACGACAGAAACAAAAGCAUCCGUUUCAGGGUCCAGCACUGGAACCUCUGACACAGUUUCCGGGUUCUGUAUGUGCGUGUGUGCGUGUCUGUGUGUCCCUGUGUGUAUCCACUGGAAAGAGAAUGAAGGGAACAAGGGAGACAUAGCAUUCAUGAUUACACCUCCUUCCUUCUUCACCGUUUUGUUUCUCCUUCAUGCACUCUGGAAUCAACUUGGGAAACGUGAGAGGGAUCUGAGUGUGUCGGGAUGGGGAGGUGCAUCCAAGUAAGAGCUAACACAGAGAUAUAGAUAGAAAGAGCAUACACAAGAACAAUGAACAUACAGUGUCAGGGCCUAGUCCCUGGUUGUUAUUUGGUAGGAAAGAAACAAGUAGGAAGGUCAAGGAUGACCAAAUGAUGAUUAAAAGAUUUUCUGACCUGCGUGAAGACCAUGCGUUUACAAUGAUUCUUUUUCUUUUUCUUUUUCUCUACAGUCCUUUCAGAAAACGUUAUCUGGUUAUAUUAUCCAAAAUCAAGACUUUUCACCUCAAAACUGGCUUGG